Molecule: ribosomal RNA, 1310 nt
Filed under: uncultured bacterium
Lineage: Bacteria
Description: bacterial SSU rRNA
Rfam family: Bacterial small subunit ribosomal RNA
Source: RNAcentral
GAUGAAUGCUGGCGGCGUGCCUAACACAUGCAAGUCGAGCGGCAGCGAGGGGUGCUUGCACCCUGUCGGCGAGCGGCGGACGGCUGAGUAACGCGUGGGAAUCUACCCUAAAGUGAGGGAUAACCGCCCGAAAGGGUGGCUAAUACCGCAUAUGAUCUUCGGAUUAAAGGAUUUAUCCGCUUUAGGAAGAGCCCGCGUUAGAUUAGGUAGUUGGUAGGGUAAUGGCCUACCAAGCCAACGAUCUAUAGCUGGUCUGAGAGGAUGAUCAGCCAGACUGGAACUGAGACACGGUCCAGACUCCUACGGGAGGCAGCAGUGAGGAAUCUUCCACAAUGGGCGAAAGCCUGAUGGAGCAACGCCGCGUGAAGGAUGAAGGCCUUCGGGUUGUAAACUUCUUUUAUGAGUGAAGAAUAUGACGGUAACUCAUGAAUAAGCACCGGCUAACUACGUGCCAGCAGCCGCGGUCAUACGUAGGGUGCAAGCAUUAUCCGGAGUGACUGGGCGUAAAGAGUUGCGUAGGCGGUUUAAUAAGUGAAUAGUGAAACCUGGUGGCUCAACCAUACAGACUAUUAUUCAAACUGUUAAACUCGAGAGUGGUAGAGGUAACUGGAAUUUCUAGUGUAGGAGUGAAAUCCGUAGAUAUUAGAAAGGAACGCCAAUGGCGUAGGCAGGUUACUGGACCAUUUCUGACGCUAAGGCACGAAAGCGUGGGGAGCGAACUGGAUUAGAUACCCAGGUAGUCCACGCCGUAAACGAUGGAUACUAGCUGUUGGAGGUAUCGACCCCUUCAGUAGCGAAGCUAACGCGUUAAGUAUCCCGCCUGUGGAGUACGGCCGCAAGGCUAAAACAUAAAGGAAUUGACGGGGACCCGCACAAGCGGUGGAUCAUGUUCUUUAAUUCGAUGAUAAACGAAGAACCUUACCAGGGUUUGACAUCCCGAGAAGAUUUACGAAAGUAAAUUGUGCCUUUUGGAACUCGGUGACAGAUGAUGCAUGGCCGUCGUCAGCUCGUGUCGUGAGAUGUUUGGUUAAGUCCAUCAACGAGCGCAACCCUUGUGAAUAGUUGAAUUUUUCUAUUCAGACUGCCCCGGCAACGGGGAGGAGGGGAUGAUGUCAGGUCAGUAUUUCUCUUACAUCCUGGGCUAGAAACGUGAUACAAUGGCAAGUACAAUGCGCAGCGAAGCCGCGAGGUGAAGCAAAUCGCACCAAAGCUUGUCCCAGUUCGGAUUGGAGGCUGAAACUCGCCUCCAUGAAGUCGGAAUCGCUAGUAAUCGCAGGUCAGCAAACUGCGGUGAAUACGUUCCCGGGUCU